RNAcentral lists this transfer RNA (78 nucleotides) under Salmo salar (Atlantic salmon). It matches the Rfam family "tRNA", at positions 8 to 63 of the family's 71-position model. Rfam says of the family: Transfer RNA (tRNA) molecules are approximately 80 nucleotides in length. Their secondary structure includes four short double-helical elements and three loops (D, anti-codon, and T loops). The record is from Rfam by way of RNAcentral. Lineage: Eukaryota; Metazoa; Chordata; Actinopteri; Salmoniformes; Salmonidae.
UGGCUCAGUUGGUAGAGCAUCGUGUUUGCAACGCCAGCAUGGUGUGUGCAACGCCAGGGUUGUGGGUUCGAUUCCCAC